CAUAAAUGUAUUUUUUUAUGAAGUGAACAGUGGAGUUGAUGAGCUUAAAAUUGAAAUUCAGAUUCUGGUUAAAUAAGAAGUCUUAAUUUAUUUUAGUUUCAUAGUAUUUUAAAACAUCUGAUUUACAUAAGUAGCAGCAAAUGGUGAUUCAUGUUUUUAACUUUUCAUUUUGAAAUAUUUUUUAGAUUCAUAGAACUGUUCCAAAGGUAGCAGAGAAUCCUGUAAUCCUUCACCUAGCUUCCUCUAAUGUUAAUAUUUUACAUAAUCAUGAUGUAGUAUUAGCAAAACCAAGAAACUAUCAUUGAUAUAUUAUUUAAAUUUUAUUCUUACUUCACCAGGUUUUCCACUAAAUUUUUUUCUAUUCCAGAAUUCGAACUAAGAUACCACUUUACAUUUAUUUAGCUGUCAUUUGUCUUAGUCUCUAACAGUCUGCCACAGUAUCCUUGUCUUUUUUUCUUUCAUGACCUUGAAAUUUUUGAAGAGUAAUGGUCAGAAAUUGUGGAUGAUAUCUCAGUUUGUCUGAUAUUUUCUCAUGAUUAGCCUGAGGUUAUGAAUUUUUGAAAAUACCACCAUAGUGAUGAGCCCUUCUCUUUGUAUUAUGUCUGGGAGUGCUUUGUUAAGCUAUAUCUGCUAAGGUUUUCUACUGUAGGUUAAUAUUGGUUCUCUAGCAUUGUUGUAAAUGAAUGGAUGAGUAUAUACAAGUUUAUAGCCUCAAGGGAAAAGAGAUUAGUCUUUGCUUCCUGGAGAGAUGCAUAUGAAAGAACAUGUGGCUAUGUUGAAACCACCACAAGAAUUAGUACAUUUUGGGACUUAUGAGGUAGCACAAAAAACCAGUUUCUCACUUAAUUUAGUUUUAACCAAUUGUUAACAUUGAGUGGAUAUUGCCUGCAAUAACUAUUACUAUGGUGUUCUAAUGUUGUGCCUGUUCUUUUGCCUAUCCCACACUGCCUUGAUUAAGGUAGUAAACCUUGAUAUUGGGUAAUGUGAGACUUCCAAAUUUUUUCUUUUAAAG
Molecule: long non-coding RNA, 1012 nt
Filed under: Marmota monax (woodchuck)
Lineage: Eukaryota; Metazoa; Chordata; Mammalia; Rodentia; Sciuridae
Source: RNAcentral